RNAcentral lists this long non-coding RNA (550 nucleotides) under Olea europaea (common olive). Its description in RNAcentral is "long non-coding RNA (OEUR_LNC011058)". Lineage: Eukaryota; Viridiplantae; Streptophyta; Magnoliopsida; Lamiales; Oleaceae. The record is from RNAcentral.
AUGCCCCGCCCAAAUUGUGUCAUGGCAUUCCGUGAUUAGUGAUUUCCUCAGAUCUCCGCCCUUAGGAACAUAUAGGCGGUCUCCCUUUGUCUUCACCCUUAGGAACAUAUAGGCGGUCUCCCUUUGUCUUCACUAGUUCUCCAUCUAGCCAGAACUGUCGAGUUUUACCCUGCUUGAUAAGGUCGACCAAAUAUUGGGUAGCCGGGUCCUUCUCCAUAAGUGCCUGAAUUUGGUCUCUAGUGUUCGUGGAGACUGCGCUCCCUGCAAGAGCAGCUACAGAGCAGAUGGUAGCUAAAUCAGCCCGUCGACUAAGAGCAUCGGCAACAUGAUUAUUAGAGCCGGGACGAUAAUCUAACAUAAAAUUGAACUCCGAAAGGAAUUCCUGCCAACGAGCCUGUUUGCUCGAUAGUUUUGGUUGGGACAUAAAGUAACUAACUGCAGUGUUAUCUGUCUUCACAAUAAAUGGAGACCCAAGCAGAUAGUGACGCCAUCCUCUGAGACAAUGGACAACUGCUAACAAUUCCUUUUCAUGUGCCGAGUAACGACGUUC